AAAGUCGUAACAAGGUUUCCGUAGGUGAACCUGCGGAAGGAUCAUUAUUGAAUAAGUUGGGAGGUUGUAGCUGGCUCUUCGGAGCAUGUGCACACCUUUCAAACUCUUAUCUCAACCACCUGUGCACCCUUUGUAGACCUGGGAAAUAGUCCUCUAUAGAGAAUUGUCUGAGGGUCUGCUGGCUUUUCUAGGAAGGUCGGCUUCCCUUGCUCUUUCCAGUGUCUAUGUUUUUAUUACACACCAUACAGAAUGUUAUGAAUGUCAUUGAUGGGCCUGUCGUAAAACAACAGCGUCCUUUAAUUUUAUACAACUUUCAACAACGGAUCUCUUGGCUCUC
Molecule: unclassified non-coding RNA, 337 nt
Filed under: Basidiomycota sp.
Lineage: Eukaryota; Fungi; Basidiomycota
Description: partial contains small subunit ribosomal RNA, internal transcribed spacer 1, and 5.8S ribosomal RNA
Rfam family: Eukaryotic small subunit ribosomal RNA (bases 1-47)
Source: RNAcentral